Molecule: ribosomal RNA, 303 nt
Filed under: Triticum aestivum (bread wheat)
Lineage: Eukaryota; Viridiplantae; Streptophyta; Magnoliopsida; Poales; Poaceae
Description: partial small subunit ribosomal RNA
Source: RNAcentral
AUGUGCAUGUACAUGACUUCAAGGAACUUGAGAGUUGAGACAGACAGUAACAAUCCUAUGAUAAAAUUGGACAGAAAAUCAAUGGGAAAACAAAAACCUAGCACAAAAGAGAACACCUCUGGGCACGGAAUGGAUCACUUAGCCAUCGUCGGAGUGGCUACAUUGGGGAGCGCCGACGGCGGUGUCACCCUGGGCCUCCUCGCUGACGAAGGGCACUCCGGCAGCAGCGGCCAUUUUGCCGCGUGCAUGAAUCAGGGGCUGGAUGCGAGGGAUUGGAGGCCGGCGGAGGCGCGAGGCCGAUGA